UUUCCCUUUCCCUCCUCCUUCCUUCCCUGGGGCUCAGCCAGGUUCAUCCAGGGCUGAAGGGAGCAGCACUGGGAGAUGCUGCCCAGGAGUGGGAAGCGGGGAUGAGAGCUGGAAUUGCAGAGAUCUCACUGAGAUGUGCUGGUGAACACAUCCAAGUGUUUCACAGGGGACAGCUGUGACAAGGAGCCACCAGAUCCUGCAGGCUCCAGGCUGCCCUGGAUUUUCCCUGCUCCUCCUGGAGCUCCUGAGGGACGUGGCUUUGAUUUUUCUGCUUCUUUUUCUGCUUCUCCCCCUGCCCAGAGAGCAGAGCCUACGUGAACCCCUUGGUGUGCGCCUUCUUCCUGUCGCUGCUGCCCAUCUGGAUCAUCAUUGCCAGGAGGAAUUCUGCCACCAGGGAGGUGCUGUACUCGGGCUGGGAGCCUGUCAUCAUCGCCAUGGCCAUCAGCAGUGUCGGGGGGCUCAUUCUGGACAGGACGGUGUCGGACCCCAACUUUGCUGGCAUGGCAGUGUUCACCCCAGUCAUCAAUGGUGUGGGUGGCAACCUGGUGGCAGUGCAGGCCAGCCGCAUCUCCACCUACCUGCACAUGAGUGGGGAGCCUGGAGAAGGCCCUGGCACUGCCCCUCGCAAGUGCCCCAGCCCCUGCAGCACCUUCUGCAGCUCAGGUACAGCCUGGGGACUGGGCUGGGUGCCAGCUGGGCACAGCAAAGGGGGCACAGCAAAGGGGGCACAGCCCUGCCCCAUCCAGGGCUCUGCUGGCGGGAAAUGGGGCUGUGGGGUGUCCUGGGCUGGAAGGGGAUUUGUGGAUGUCUUGGUUUGAACAGACAGGUUCUGCUAAGCAAGGCAGCAAAUGGGAAAUUUAAACUCCCCUCCCUCCAAAUUCUUAUACAUUUGAAAUUAAGGGGCUCUCAUGCAAAGAUAUGGGAAUAGGAAUAACAGUUCU
This 941-nucleotide long non-coding RNA is filed under the name Junco hyemalis (dark-eyed junco). Its description in RNAcentral is "lncRNA (ENSJHYG00000000043.1)". The record is from RNAcentral. Lineage: Eukaryota; Metazoa; Chordata; Aves; Passeriformes; Passerellidae.